Molecule: transfer-messenger RNA, 190 nt
Filed under: Ehrlichia sennetsu str. Miyayama
Lineage: Bacteria; Pseudomonadati; Pseudomonadota; Alphaproteobacteria; Rickettsiales; Anaplasmataceae
Description: Neorickettsia sennetsu str. Miyayama transfer-messenger RNA Neori_senne_Miyaya
Rfam family: Alphaproteobacteria transfer-messenger RNA
About the family: Bacterial tmRNA, also known as 10Sa RNA or SsrA, is named for its dual tRNA and mRNA-like properties. Its role is to liberate the mRNA from a stalled ribosome.
Source: RNAcentral
GGGGGUGAUUUAGUUUCGACAGGUAUUAAAGGCUAAACUUUUGUUCGGUUGAGUGAUCCCGUGAUUCACAACACUUUUUAUAAGUGCAAACGACAAUUUUGAAGCUGGUUCUGCUGAAUAUGCAGUAGCUGCCUAGUUUAUAGGUAGUACAGCGCGGUUUGGGGCGGCCGGUCAACAGAACUGCCCCAGU